Molecule: ribosomal RNA, 273 nt
Filed under: uncultured bacterium
Lineage: Bacteria
Description: partial 16S ribosomal RNA
Rfam family: Bacterial small subunit ribosomal RNA
Source: RNAcentral
UACAGAGGGUGCAAGCGUUGUUCGGAAUUAUUGGGCGUAAAGCGCGUGUAGGCGGCAUGGCAAGUCGGGUGUGAAAGCCCUCAGCUCAACUGAGGAAGUGCGCCCGAAACUGCUGUGCUUGAGUACCGGAGAGGAUGGCGGAAUGCCCCAAGUAGAGGUGAAAUUCGUAGAUAUGGGGCGGAACACCGGUGGCGAAGGCGGCCAUCUGGACGGAUACUGACGCUGAGACGCGAAAGCGUGGGUAGCAAACAGGAUUAGAUACCCCAGUAGUCC